RNAcentral lists this transfer RNA (67 nucleotides) under Lachnospiraceae bacterium. RNAcentral's name for it is "tRNA-OTHER". It matches the Rfam family "tRNA". From Rfam's summary of the family: Transfer RNA (tRNA) molecules are approximately 80 nucleotides in length. Their secondary structure includes four short double-helical elements and three loops (D, anti-codon, and T loops). The record is from RNAcentral. Lineage: Bacteria; Bacillati; Bacillota; Clostridia; Lachnospirales; Lachnospiraceae.
GUGUCCAUAGCUCAGCCGGAUAGAGCAACGGCCUUCUAAGUCGGGGGUUCGAAUCCCUUUGGACACA